GCAAUGAUGAUUUUUCUUCAUUAAGUUUGAUCAUUUUGAGCUGAAAUCACACUUAAUCCUCUAAGAAGUUCUGAGCUC
Cynoglossus semilaevis (tongue sole) is the source of this 78-nucleotide small nucleolar RNA. RefSeq annotates it as small nucleolar RNA SNORD61. The transcript has a single exon. Lineage: Eukaryota; Metazoa; Chordata; Actinopteri; Pleuronectiformes; Cynoglossidae. The record is from RefSeq and is a predicted model, not a curated record.